UAGGGAAUCUUCGGCAAUGGGGGGAACCCUGACCGAGCAACGCCGCGUGAGUGAAGAAGGUUUUCGGAUCGUAAAGCUCUGUUGUUAAGGAAGAACGAGUGUGAGAAUGGAAAGUUCAUGCUGUGACGGUACUUAACCAGAAAGGGACGGCUAACUACGUGCCAGCAGCCGCGGUAAUACGUAGGUCCCGAGCGUUGUCCGGAUUUAUUGGGCGUAAAGCGAGCGCAGGCGGUUAGAAAAGUCUGAAGUGAAAGGCAGUGGCUCAACCAUUGUAGGCUUUGGAAACUGUUUAACUUGAGUGCAGAAGGGGAGAGUGGAAUUCAUGUGUAGCGGUGAAAUGCGUAGAUAUAUGGAGGAACACCGGUGGCGAAAGCGGCUCUCUGGUCUGUAACUGACGCUGAGGCUCGAAAGCGUGGGGAGCGAACAGG
RNAcentral lists this ribosomal RNA (428 nucleotides) under Acidobacteriota bacterium. Its description in RNAcentral is "Acidobacteria bacterium partial 16S ribosomal RNA". It matches the Rfam family "Bacterial small subunit ribosomal RNA", at positions 355 to 776 of the family's 1533-position model. The record is from RNAcentral. Lineage: Bacteria; Pseudomonadati; Acidobacteriota.